GUCAAGAGCUGUGAGAAGUUGUGCUGUUGGAGAGAUUGAGCUGUAUACACCAUACUAGGUACAAGGAAGGAGGCCCUGAGGUGGGCUGUGAUCCCUACCAUGUCAUAGGCUGCCAGAUCUGGGAGAGGAAGAAGAGAGAAGGAAAGAAACACGUGUGACAGAUGGUAUUCAUACUGAUGAAUUCACCACCAGAACAGCCUCCAAUACCACAGUGAUAGGAGCAGUAGAAGAACUGAACAGAAUAAAAUGGAGCCCAGUCAAGGACCAAGACUCUGUUGUAAGCAGCACAAAGCUAGAACAAACUCUGGGAGGAAGGUCCUGAGAAAGAAACAGAGAUUUUGGGGCUGAGUGCUGGCUGAAAGAGGUUUGGGACUGUGAGCAAAGAAACAGCUUCCCGUUCUAUGAUUCCUGCUGUGUUCCAUGAAAAAAGGAUUUUGUACAUUUUUUGAAAAUAAAAGGAUUGCAUCAAAGAAAUACCUGAUUCCAACAUCAAUUUCUCCU
Molecule: long non-coding RNA, 501 nt
Organism: Mauremys reevesii (Reeves's turtle)
Lineage: Eukaryota; Metazoa; Chordata; Testudines; Geoemydidae
Exons: 4
Source: RefSeq, a predicted model, not a curated record